This 342-nucleotide long non-coding RNA is filed under the name Phaseolus vulgaris (common bean). RNAcentral describes it as "long non-coding RNA (PVUL_LNC003929)". The record is from RNAcentral. Lineage: Eukaryota; Viridiplantae; Streptophyta; Magnoliopsida; Fabales; Fabaceae.
AAGGGGGCACUCUUUUCCCUAAGGAGGGUUUUUAACGAGGCCACCCAAUUAAAGAAAAAAUUCCAGCAUAUAAAGCGUGCUCAAGUAUUAAAGUUAAAAUCCUCCUUGCCCCAGGUGCAAGUGCAGGUGAUUGGUUAGGCCCUACUUGCCCUAGGCGCAAGUACUGGCACCGGUCUAAGUCUUCCUCACCCCAGGUGUGAGCGCAAGCAGUUAAAGGUUUGAAAAGCCAGGGGUGCUAGUAAGACCAAGGGAGGGAAAGGAAAGGUUUUGACAAAACGUCCUUACCCACUUGGCAUACACCAAUAUUGGCCCAGUAAGACUCUUAGUCCGAAACCCUUCUCA